AAACGACUCUCGACAACGGAUAUCUCGGCUCUCGCAUCGAUGAAGAACGUAGCGAAAUGCGAUACUUGGUGUGAAUUGCAGAAUCCCGUAAACCAUCGAGUCUUUGAACGCAAGUUGCGCCCCAAGCCUUUUGGCCGAGGGCACGUCUGCCUGG
RNAcentral lists this ribosomal RNA (154 nucleotides) under Lepidium phlebopetalum. Its description in RNAcentral is "5.8S ribosomal RNA". It matches the Rfam family "5.8S ribosomal RNA". From Rfam's summary of the family: 5.8S ribosomal RNA (5.8S rRNA) is a component of the large subunit of the eukaryotic ribosome. It is transcribed by RNA polymerase I as part of the 45S precursor that also contains 18S and 28S rRNA. Functionally, it is thought that 5.8S rRNA may be involved in ribosome translocation. Lineage: Eukaryota; Viridiplantae; Streptophyta; Magnoliopsida; Brassicales; Brassicaceae. The record is from RNAcentral.